This is a long non-coding RNA of Vanessa tameamea, 700 nucleotides long. RefSeq lists it as uncharacterized. The record is from RefSeq and is a predicted model, not a curated record. NCBI's taxonomy places the organism in Eukaryota, Metazoa, Arthropoda, Insecta, Lepidoptera, Nymphalidae. The transcript has 2 exons.
GAGAGGUCGGUGCUGUAUAAAUAUGUUCUACAAACACACCAAGCGCCACUCGCUCGCUGUUUAUUUAAUUGCGAUGAAAUUACUCGUUAUAUUGUUGUUGUUACAUACAACUUUUGCUGAUAAUAAUGUUCAGCAAACUUUUAAAUUGACUCCAUUAGCCAUGAAGUGUGGGUGCUUCGAAAUUCCAAUUCUAUCAGCGAGACAAAAAUCUCCGGCAGCCGGUUGUGGAUGCCAGACACUGAGAAAUGUAUAUGCACCAAUACAACGAGCCGUCAUUGGCAACACCUACAGGAAUAUGCCAUUGAAUGGAAGAAGAAAGUUUAACAAAUUUCCAAACCGAAAUCUAAUACCAAAUCGAAUGGCAAAUGGUUUGUCAAAUUACUAUCGACCAGCCAGUCGGAAACAUAUGAAGAAGUCAAAACAAAAUAUGCUUCGCAAUUACGAAUUAAAAAAUAUAAAAUCUCGUUUGGCAGGAUUGGCGAAUUUGGCACUUUCAACAGCAAACCUGCUAUCGAAUUUGCCAGUGCCUUCAACAAACCCAUACACAGUAAAUAAUCAUAAUGGCUAUCAUACACUGCCAGGGAAAGAUUUGCCAAAUGGCAUUCUGGGAUACCAAUUAAAUAACGCAGUCUGGUAGAACAAUUUUAUAUAGGCGUAAUUUUAAGUUAAACUUAUAAAAUAAAUUAUUUAUUUAUUUCAA